UACGGAGGGAGCUAGCGUUGUUCGGAAAUACUGGGCGUAAAGCGGCAUCGUAGGUCAGGGGUGAAAUCCCGGGGCUCAACCCCGGAACUGCCCUUGAAACUGCAGUGCUAGAAUCUUGGAGAGGCGAGUGGAAUUCCGAGUGUAGAGGUGAAAUUCGUAGAUAUUCGGAAGAACACCAGUGGCGAAGGCGACUCGCUGGACAAGUAUUGACGCUGAGGUGCGAAAGCGUGGGGAGCAAACAGG
Molecule: ribosomal RNA, 243 nt
Filed under: uncultured Erythrobacteraceae bacterium
Lineage: Bacteria; Pseudomonadati; Pseudomonadota; Alphaproteobacteria; Sphingomonadales; Erythrobacteraceae
Description: partial 16S ribosomal RNA
Rfam family: Bacterial small subunit ribosomal RNA
Source: RNAcentral